GUCUACAGCCAGACCAUCCUGAACGUGCCCAAUCUCGUCUGAUCUUGGAAGCUAAAGCAGGGUCAGGCCUGGUUAGCAUGGGAGACCACCUAGGAAUACCGGGUGCUGUAGGCU
Molecule: ribosomal RNA, 114 nt
Filed under: Cebus imitator (Panamanian white-faced capuchin)
Lineage: Eukaryota; Metazoa; Chordata; Mammalia; Primates; Cebidae
Source: RNAcentral